This 137-nucleotide long non-coding RNA is filed under the name Manacus vitellinus (golden-collared manakin). RNAcentral's name for it is "lncRNA (ENSMVIG00005017317.1)". The record is from RNAcentral. Lineage: Eukaryota; Metazoa; Chordata; Aves; Passeriformes; Pipridae.
GCCUAUUUUACCAUUGCGGACGAGAUAGGCAGAAAAAGGAGCGUUUGACUUGGAGUCUGCCCCUGAUUUUAGUCCAAAGGAGCUGCUCUUUGAAAUGGCGUGUCCAGCUUUGGCGUUUGCCUGCUGAGGAAGAGUAG